RNAcentral lists this ribosomal RNA (440 nucleotides) under uncultured bacterium. RNAcentral's name for it is "partial 16S ribosomal RNA". It matches the Rfam family "Bacterial small subunit ribosomal RNA", at positions 338 to 795 of the family's 1533-position model. The record is from RNAcentral.
CCUACGGGAGGCAGCAGUGGGGAAUAUUGCACAAUGGGGGAAACCCUGAUGCAGCGACGCCGCGUGAGUGAAGAAGUAUUUCGGUACGUAAAGCUCUAUCAGCAGGGAAGAAAAUGACGGUACCUGACUAAGAAUCCCCGGCUAACUACGUGCCAGCAGCCGCGGUAAUACGUAGGGGGCAAGCGUUAUCCGGAUUUACUGGGUGUAAAGGGAGCGUAGACGGCAGCGCAAGUCUGGAGUGAAAUCCCAUGGCUUAACCAUGGAACUGCUUUGGAAACUGUGCAGCUAGAGUGCAGGAGAGGUAAGCGGAAUUCAUAGUGUAGCGGUGAAAUGCGUAGAUAUUAGGAGGAACACCAGUGGCGAAGGCGGCUUACUGGACUGUAACUGACGUUGAGGCUCGAAAGCGUGGGGAGCAAACAGGAUUAGAUACCCGUGUAGUC